CUCAUUCCAUUUGACAAUCCCAUCUUCCUUUAUAAAAUUCUUCUUGUCAUUCCUCUUUGUGAGGGCUCAAAGUCAAACAACUACCCUUUGAGCCCUACCACUCGAUUUCGACUAUCGAUCUUUCAAAAUCUUAGACACCCACAUGCUUCUCUGACAAAAAGCUGAAACCUUUGAGACAAUUAACAAUGAUUUUAGCCUCAAAUUUCUUGGAUGAUAGUGAUGGCUUUUACCUUGGAUGUGGACAAAGCUCAUUAAAAGUUUAAAACUAUGUCAAAGAAACUGUCCAAUCUCCUCUCUACUCGAUAGAAGCCCCUUGGCUGC
Molecule: long non-coding RNA, 321 nt
Filed under: Nicotiana tabacum (common tobacco)
Lineage: Eukaryota; Viridiplantae; Streptophyta; Magnoliopsida; Solanales; Solanaceae
Description: long non-coding RNA (NTAB_LNC019283)
Source: RNAcentral